AAACCUCCCCAAAUCCAACACUUCCAGCAUGUCCAAACUGGGAAACAGGCGGCAGAGUAACACGGGGCAAGACGCCUAAAGGAGCCUGUUUGUGUGCUGUGUGGCCACGUUCUGCUGUGACUGGAUCUUGUCUUCUGCCUGGCUCCUCGAUUUCCGUCCGGCUGGAUUUGGGGACAACACUGCCUGGCGCAGACAGAUCAAUAACGAGGGCGCUGUUAGGAACACGCCACAGUAGUCAGCAUAAUUGAACCGGUGAAUACUUUCAUUUUGCAAAACAACAGCUCCACUCCUCCAGUCCAAAAUAAUAAUGACACUUCAAAGAAGCAUAAAAUGAACAGACUAUUCAAACAAAGGUAAUUUACAUUUUUUUAUUUGAUAAAACCUGACUGAUGUACAAAACGAAAAUAGAAUAUUGUUUACUGGAAAACAGGUCUACAAUCUCUCACACAUCUUCUCUUGCAACAGAUAGAAUUCCAGAAACAUCUAAGUUCCUCUGUGUACAGUUAUUUCUCCUGUAGGAGCCUUUGUAUGGAUGUAAUACACACAUAUAUGUAUAUGCAUAGAGCAUGACAUAAAUAAAACCUGCAAUAGCCUAUAAGAAAGAAGCUCCUAUUUAGAGGAAAGGGUAAGAUACUUUUAUUAUAAUGAAAGCCAGUUCACUUCAUCACUUGGACCAUGGACACUAAUGUAAAUAAAAUGGCUUAAAAAAUAAGACAAUAGUAGUAUUGACUGUAGACUACAAUUUGCACAUUUGUAAUUCUUAUAAAUGAAAUAUUUAAAAUGAUUUGGUGUUGGGCCAGUUCCUUAUGCAUUCUGCAUUCAUGUGUAUAGGAUUCAAAGACGUUCCAAAUAUUGAUCAUAAACCAAGUGUAUAUGAAUUAAUUAAAUAGCAUAUUUCUGGCCCAAAUAUGAGGAAAACCAUAACUUUUUACUGUAAAUCAGGAGAGAUUGUUUUAUCCCCAAAUAAACUAGGAUGUUUCAAGUCAUGUUUCAGCAAUUUGGAGACCUACAAACUAUCUGCAAGCAAGCACAACAACCAUACUCUAAUCUACUAGAUAGUAGUGAGAAUUUAGUGCUUGAAUUCAGGCUGCUUGAAUUCAGUAUAUCCUUCUCUAUGCUGAUUUUCAAGUAGAUAUUCUGUAGCUCAGCUAGAUAAUCUUUUAAAAGCAAAAAAAAAA
Molecule: long non-coding RNA, 1178 nt
Filed under: Mus musculus (house mouse)
Lineage: Eukaryota; Metazoa; Chordata; Mammalia; Rodentia; Muridae
Description: Mir9-2 host gene
Source: RNAcentral